This is a long non-coding RNA of Oncorhynchus keta (chum salmon), 308 nucleotides long. RefSeq lists it as uncharacterized. The record is from RefSeq and is a predicted model, not a curated record. Lineage: Eukaryota; Metazoa; Chordata; Actinopteri; Salmoniformes; Salmonidae. The transcript has 4 exons.
GCUCAGGUUGUGGCCUAUGUACUAGGAUAUACCUCCCACUCACUGCACUGCUCAGGUUGUGGCCUAUGUACUAGGAUAUACCUCCCACUCACUGCACUGCUCAGGUUGUGGCCUAUGUACUAGGAUAUACCUCCCACUCACUGCACUGCUCAGGUUGUGGCCUAUGUACUAGGAUAUACCUCCCACUCACUGCACUGCUCAGGUUGUGGCCUAUGUACUAGGAUAUACCUCCCACUCACUGCACUGUAGAAACAGAUGCAACGCAUAUCCAUAUUCACCACUGCUCGUAUGCCCCAUUUUCAUCCCAU